ACCUUUAAUCGAUGUAUUGACGGUUACACACCCCAUAACUCCUUCCCAUUGACGGUCAUCCUCUGACAAUCCUAGAGAUAGGACGUCCCCUUCGGGGGCAGAGUGACAGGUGGUGCAUGGUUGUCGUCAGCUCGUGUCGUGAGAUGUUGGGUUAAGUCCCGCAACGAGCGCAACCCUUGAUCUUAGUUGCCAGCAUUCAGUUGGGCACUCUAAGGUGACUGCCGGUGACAAACCGGAGGAAGGUGGGGAUGACGUCAAAUCAUCAUGCCCCUUAUGACCUGGGCUACACACGUGCUACAAUGGACAGAACAAAGGGCAGCGAAACCGCGAGGUUAAGCCAAUCCCACAAAUCUGUUCUCAGUUCGGAUCGCAGUCUGCAACUCGACUGCGUGAAGCUGGAAUCGCUAGUAAUCGCGGAUCAGCAUGCCGCGGUGAAUACGUUCCCGGGCCUUGUACACACCGCCCGUAAAACUCAAUGAAUUUGAC
This 486-nucleotide ribosomal RNA is filed under the name Bacillus vallismortis. RNAcentral describes it as "bacterial SSU rRNA". It matches the Rfam family "Bacterial small subunit ribosomal RNA", at positions 954 to 1416 of the family's 1533-position model. Lineage: Bacteria; Bacillati; Bacillota; Bacilli; Caryophanales; Bacillaceae. The record is from RNAcentral.